UCCUCGAUCUGCUGCGGGCAGAUGAAAUGGAUGUGGCUGUCGAAGCCGCCGGCGGUGAUGAUCUUGCCCUCGCCGGCGAUCACCUCCGUGCCCGGCCCGACCACGAUGUCGACGCCCGGCUGCACGUCCGGAUUGCCCGCCUUGCCGACCUUGUGGAUGCGCCCGUUCAGAAUGCCGAUGUCGGCCUUGAUGAUCCCGGCAUGGUCGAGGAUGACCGCAUUGGUGAUGACGGUGUCGACCGCGCCUUCUGCCCGCGUGGCCUGGCUCUGCCCCAUGCCGUCGCGGA
This 286-nucleotide small RNA is filed under the name Hansschlegelia beijingensis. Its description in RNAcentral is "5' ureB small RNA". It matches the Rfam family "5' ureB small RNA". Lineage: Bacteria; Pseudomonadati; Pseudomonadota; Alphaproteobacteria; Hyphomicrobiales; Methylopilaceae. The record is from Rfam by way of RNAcentral.